UACGUAGGGUGCAAGCGUUGUCCGGAAUUAUUGGGCGUAAAGAGCUCGUAGGCGGUCUGUCACGUCGGCUGUGAAAACCCGAGGCUCAACCUCGGGCCUGCAGUCGAUACGGGCAAACUAGAGUACGUGCAGGGGAGACUGGAAUUCCUGGUGAUAGCGGUGAAAUGCGCAGAUAUCAGGAGGAACACCGGUGGCGAAGGCGGGUCUCUGGGCAGUGAACU
RNAcentral lists this ribosomal RNA (221 nucleotides) under uncultured bacterium. Its description in RNAcentral is "partial 16S ribosomal RNA". It matches the Rfam family "Bacterial small subunit ribosomal RNA", at positions 524 to 741 of the family's 1533-position model. The record is from RNAcentral.